AUAAUUUGCUGCACCAAAAGAAGCUGUAGAUGGCACAACACUGAAUGCUUUCAUUGUUAGGAUUGGACUACAAGAAGUUGAAGUCGUUUUGUGUGAGACAAAUGUGACCAACUAGCCAUUGGUGAUCAUAGAACUUAUUAAUUUGAUAGAAAUCAGUAAAUUAUUAUGCAACAUUACAUCAUUACACGAACACUAGAAGGGACUUUAUCAAGAGCCUGAAGUUUUGCUCCCUCGUAAAGAUUUAGAAAGAUCAAAUAAUCCCUAACUAAUACUGAAUCAACCAAAAAUAAAACCUAAAGACAUCUUCCAUUUCUUCCCUUCACGGACUUGAGAGAUUUUUAUUUUCAUCUUA
Molecule: unclassified non-coding RNA, 352 nt
Filed under: Hevea brasiliensis (rubber tree)
Lineage: Eukaryota; Viridiplantae; Streptophyta; Magnoliopsida; Malpighiales; Euphorbiaceae
Source: RNAcentral